UUAGACCUCAAAUCAGGUGGGACUACCCGCUGAACUUAA
Molecule: ribosomal RNA, 39 nt
Filed under: Helicobasidium purpureum
Lineage: Eukaryota; Fungi; Basidiomycota; Pucciniomycetes; Helicobasidiales; Helicobasidiaceae
Also listed under: 2 other names
Description: partial nuclear large ribosomal RNA
Source: RNAcentral